GGUCCCUAUCCGUCGCGGGCGUAGGAAAUUUGAGAGGAUCUGCUCCUAGUACGAGAGGACCAGAGUGGACUUACCGCUGGUGUACCAGUUGUCUUGCCAAAGGCAUCGCUGGGUAGCUAUGUAGGGAAGGGAUAAGCGCUGAAAGCAUCUAAGUGCGAAGCCCACCUCAAGAUGAGAUUUCCCAUGAUUUUAUAUCAGUAAGAGCCCUGAGAGAUGAUCAGGUAGAUAGGUUAGGAGUGUAAUUGUGGUGACACAUUUAGCGGACUAAUACUAAUAGCUCGAGGACUUAUCCAAAA
RNAcentral lists this ribosomal RNA (296 nucleotides) under Streptococcus agalactiae. RNAcentral describes it as "partial 23S ribosomal RNA". It matches the Rfam family "Bacterial large subunit ribosomal RNA", at positions 2633 to 2925 of the family's 2925-position model. Lineage: Bacteria; Bacillati; Bacillota; Bacilli; Lactobacillales; Streptococcaceae. The record is from RNAcentral.